Molecule: long non-coding RNA, 1691 nt
Filed under: Mytilus galloprovincialis (Mediterranean mussel)
Lineage: Eukaryota; Metazoa; Mollusca; Bivalvia; Mytilida; Mytilidae
Source: RNAcentral
UAAUUACUGGAGGAAGUGUAAUCAAUAUUACUUUUAUAAUUCAAAUUACAGGAUACAACCACAGAUUUUAGGGACAAAAACAGUAUCUGAGGCUAAACAGAGGAGACAUCAUCCGCCCUUUGUUUCAAUCUAUUAUAUCUCUAGCAGGGCUGAGGCAAUAUUAAAACAGCCGGGUUAGGAAACAAAACAAUUAAAGAAAAGUUAACAGAAGAAUAAAAAAAGCAAGGAAUUGGCCAGACUGAACAUCAAAGGUGAGCUAAUAUUUGAUCGCGAUACGAUUUUUCAGGUUCUAACAAAUCACGUGACGAUCUGCGAGGUUCUCAGAAUUAUUUCAACAUUCCUUAAAUUUAUUGCCGCGUGUUUUGCAGGUUAUAUUGAGAUCGUUACAAUUUUAUUGUAACCUAUGCUCAUUACAAUUGCAAAUGAAACCGUUUAUUUUGUUACCUUCUUCAGUUUAAUAGAACAAAUAGAUUUGUUCAUGUCAUUUUUAUAGAGAUAUAAAAGUCAGUGUCUAUCUUUCCAUUUGUCUCCCCUUGUUAUAUUCCCGUUCUGUUGCUUUAAUGACAUUUAUACGACAUACUUAUUUUCACCAUCGACAAUUUUAAUACACCUGAUAUAUAUGUCAUCAUGACAAAAAUGAAAUCAGCUGGAAAAAUUUCAUUUUUAAAUUUCUGUGUAAUUUUAUUUAUUGCCCUCUUCUGAAAUAUCUAUUCAAAUGCAUACGAAACUAUGUUGAUAUGUUAAUCUCUUGGAUAAUCAGUUUAUCAUUGGAAUGGUGAAGAUUAGAGACGAGUUUAAAAUUAUAUUAUGUAAGAAAUACAAAGGGGGUAAAUUGCUUACCUUAUUAUCAGCUCAGAAACAUUUUACCUCCAGGAAACCUAGGAAAAAUUUAGCAUAUAUCUUUGAUACGUUGACGACCCAUCGGGGGCCUUAUACUGUGUCAAUUGUCUCUUUUACACUAACCCCUUUUCCAUUCCCUCAUCUUUAUUUAUCAACCAAGGGAAGGUUUCCCGGAUAGUUUUGCGACCGCAAUGUCAUUUUUCAAACAUGAGAAGGACAGAUGCUGCUAGUGGUACAAAAACUGUAACACCAACUGGAGCACAUCAGUUUACCCAUGGUAUUUGAUGGGAUGCGUAUUGCUCAACCCUCAAUCAAAGUUUUCGGGGAAGUUUGUUGCGUGGUUUUUUUUUGUGAUUUUGUCGGUUUAGUUUUGGCCAUGGUUUUGUCUUUUUUUUGUUUUGGCCAUGGUUUUUGCUUUUUUUUUUGUUUUGGUCAUGGUUUUGUCUUUUGUGUUUUGUUUUGGCCAUGGUUUUGUCUUUUUUUGUCAUGGUUUUGUCAUGGUUUUGUGUUUUGUUUUAGCCAUGCUUUUGCUUUUUUUUUGGUUUUGGUCAUGGUUUUGUCUUUUUUGUUUGGUCAUGGUUUUAUCUUUGUUUAUUUGACUUUCAUGUUUUCUAUUGUAACUUAGUUUUCCCUUUUUUAUUUUAAAUAUUAUUUUUUUAAAUUUCAACAGGCGACAAAGUGGAAAUGUAUACAGCAAUAUCUACAACUGAAAUAUACAGAUAUAGAACAGCUGUGAACUUGCACUUAAACAUGCAGACAAGAAACGGCCCUGAAUAUGCGCGCACUAUUUAACAAGGAACUAAGACCAAUAAAAAGCGAAUUAAUAAACAGACAUAGGUAAUACAUAAAAC